CAGGUCAUUCAACAUUUAUUCAACCAAAAAUACUAAGUCAGCUCUAUACAAACUAAUGGAAGGAUACAGCUAUGCAAAUAUAGAACACUAAAGUGUUACAUGACAGAUGUAUGAGAUAUUAAAGUAAUUGUGAAAUAAAAGAAAAAAUUGUCUGAUAAAACCACAUCUCAUAGAAACCCAAUGAAUGCAACACAUCUAAAAUUUUAUCUGCAAAAAACGAGAGAAGACUUGCCCUUCUGUCAGUAAAGCACAGAUAA
Homo sapiens (human) is the source of this 257-nucleotide long non-coding RNA. Ensembl annotates it as ARHGEF35 antisense RNA 1. Its record names the gene ARHGEF35-AS1. The record is from Ensembl. NCBI's taxonomy places the organism in Eukaryota, Metazoa, Chordata, Mammalia, Primates, Hominidae.